This 74-nucleotide transfer RNA is filed under the name Candidatus Omnitrophota bacterium. RNAcentral describes it as "Candidatus Omnitrophica bacterium (groundwater metagenome) tRNA-Val". It matches the Rfam family "tRNA". From Rfam's summary of the family: Transfer RNA (tRNA) molecules are approximately 80 nucleotides in length. Their secondary structure includes four short double-helical elements and three loops (D, anti-codon, and T loops). Further hydrogen bonds mediate the characteristic L-shaped molecular structure. tRNAs have two regions of fundamental functional importance: the anti-codon, which is responsible for specific mRNA codon recognition, and the 3' end, to which the tRNAs corresponding amino acid is attached (by aminoacyl-tRNA synthetases). tRNAs cope with the degeneracy of the genetic code in two manners: having more than one tRNA (with a specific anti-codon) for a particular amino acid; and 'wobble' base-pairing, i.e. permitting non-standard base-pairing at the 3rd anti-codon position. Lineage: Bacteria; Pseudomonadati; Candidatus Omnitrophota. The record is from RNAcentral.
GGGCGGGUAGCUCAGUUGGUUAGAGCAGCGGAUUUACAUUCCGCAGGUCGGAGGUUCGAGCCCUCCUCCGCCCA